GCCAUUGCAGCUGAUGACAUGACUUUUUUCCCCAUCAGAUCGACCCUGUUGAUCUAACAACCAUUAGCCAGUGUUUGUCUGAUGCAUUGGC
Molecule: small nucleolar RNA, 91 nt
Filed under: Suricata suricatta (meerkat)
Lineage: Eukaryota; Metazoa; Chordata; Mammalia; Carnivora; Herpestidae
Description: Small nucleolar SNORD12/SNORD106 (ENSSSUG00005022243.1)
Rfam family: Small nucleolar SNORD12/SNORD106
About the family: This family belong to the C/D class of snoRNA which contain the C (UGAUGA) and D (CUGA) box motifs.
Source: Rfam by way of RNAcentral